CCCGCUUCCCUGCUCCUCUCUCUCUCUCUCUCUGGCGAUUCCAGAUCUGGAUCUGGAUCUAGGGUUUUCCUCCAUGAAAAUUUCACCAGAUCUAUGAAGAUUCUGACCUCUCAGUUCUGAUUUAGGGUAUUUUUGGUGUUAUUGCUACCUUCGUCAAGGGUCAUGGUUUAAGGAAUGUGUCACGUUUCUUCAGAGAUUCCAGUCGGAAUCCGAGCCGAGAUAAUGGAUGCUCUAGGGUUUAUGAAGGUUUGAUGAACUCUGCUGCGUGUACCAGCGAAACACAAAGAUCCUCUUUAAAUGACUUCCGGUAAGACGAUUACGGUUCCGGCGUGCUGGACUGCCAUAUCUGUCAAAAAGGGUUCCUCAAAGAUAGUGGUUGUGGGUGGAAGACGAUGACACAAGCCUUGAAUCAAAUCCAUGUUUACUCGACCUCCAUAUUUUGAGGGUAGAAGUGAAGAUGACUUCUUUGACAGGACUUAAAGCAAGUUGAAGUUUGCACCAGAUAAGGGGAUGCGUUUAGAUGGUUGGCUGGAAAUCCUUCCCACAAACUGGAUAUAAUGGCUCAGUGUGGCUAGCAGUAAGUCCUGCUGACUUACUGCUGACCCUUCAGGCUCCACAUAAUCUUGAUGUCUUAUAAGUGAGUCGUUACCGUGUUAUGAAUGAAUCUGGGUGACCCCUGGUAUAUGAUUCUUUCUAAUCUCCAUCAAUAUGUUAUUAAACCAGGUGGGGUUUACAUAUUUGUGCAACAUGUAGCUGCCCAAGAUGGUACAUUUCCUAAAGUUAUACAACGCACUUUGGAUCCACUGUAGCAGGUGGUUGCGGAUGGAUGCCAUCUUACAAGGGAAACCGGAGACAGAGUAAUUCGAUUUGGGUUAUUUACAAAUGAGUCAUCUGAUCUGGGUAGUUGAAAUCCGAUUAUAUGAAGUCUUAAUAUGAUUGUAGAAGAGACGACUUCAUCCACCAGCGAAUCCAGUAUCAAGGGGAGCGGGAGCGGCAACAAACUUACUACUGCAACGGAUGAUGACCUAGAAUUUGAUAUUCAAGAGGGAUAUUCAGAUAGUUUUCUACGCUGGAUAACCAAUGGAGAGACUCUAUGCCACUAAUGUGUCCGCGUUGAUGAAAUGAGCUGUUUGAAACAGGUCGUGUUAGUUGACCACUAAUGCAUGAUUUUGUGUAUGUGAAUGCAUGACCGAUACUUGCACAUAUUGGAUCUCCGGUCUCCGUCAGUUACGAAACCUGUCCAAAGUGUAGAAGCCCACCAAAGUGAGGUAGGUUAACUGCUUAGCUUUCAACCCUUUUAAUGAAUGGGUUGUAGCAACCGGGUCAACAGACAAGACCGUGAAGUUGUUUGACUUGCGAAAGUUCCAGACGCAUCUCCAUAGUUUUGGUUUUCACAAGAGGAGGUGUGUCAAGUUGGAUGGAAUCCACAGAAUGAGUCGAUUUUAUCUUCUUGUUGUGCUAGUAGGAGACUCCUGGUGUGGUAUCUUAACAUCAACAAACGAUGAUGCUGUAGAUGGGCCACCCGAAUUGCUCUUUUGUCCAUGGCGGGCAUACAAGUAAAAUUUCGGAUUUCUCAUGGAAUCCAUGUGAUGACUGGGUCAUUGCUAGCGUUGCUGAAGAUAAUAUACUUCAAAUAUGGCAGAUGGCUGAAAAUAUCUACCACGUUGGUGGUGCGGCUCGAAGAGGCGAAGCGGAGCGACUUGUUAAGGGAGUGAAUUUGUUGGUGGCUUCCCCUGGUAGACUUCUUGAUCAUCUGCAGAACACCAAAGCCUUGACAGUCAUAAGUGGUUAUGAAGUCUCAAGUGAACUACAUGGUGUUAAUUUGUCUGUGGUUCUUACAGCCACAGUGGCUAUUGAUCCGAUUUUUGACCCAUUUCAUGAGUAUUUCCAUUCGAGGCGAUGACAUCAAGAGAAUAACCUUCUGAACACGAUUCUUAUAAUGUUUGGGAUCUUUUUCGUGCUUAUGAUGAUCAUGUAAAUCACUGAUCAGAAUGUUGGGAGUUUGAGUGUUUUAGUUGCUGGUUAUUGUUGGCAUCAUGUUGAUGAUAGUCAGAUAGUGUGUUCAUAUAAUACUUUGUAAUAGCACUUAUAAUGGUUCCACAUUUGUUGAAGAUGUGGAAUGGGAGUUGAACUUAAAGCAGAUUUGAGGUGCAUAUAUA
Helianthus annuus (common sunflower) is the source of this 2159-nucleotide long non-coding RNA. RefSeq lists it as uncharacterized. The transcript is spliced from 12 exons. The record is from RefSeq and is a predicted model, not a curated record. Lineage: Eukaryota; Viridiplantae; Streptophyta; Magnoliopsida; Asterales; Asteraceae.